This 316-nucleotide unclassified non-coding RNA is filed under the name uncultured Tomentella. Its description in RNAcentral is "sequence contains 5.8S rRNA gene". The record is from RNAcentral. Lineage: Eukaryota; Fungi; Basidiomycota; Agaricomycetes; Thelephorales; Thelephoraceae.
GAACGCACCUUGCGCCCUUUGGCCAUUCCGAAGGGCAUGCCUGUUUGAGUAUCAUGAACACCUCAACUCUCAUGGUUCGCCAUGAUGAGCUUGGACUUUGGGGGCCUUGCCGGCUUGACUGUCGGCUCCUCUCAAAUGAAUCAGCUUGCCAGUGUUUGGUGGCAUCACAGGUGUGAUAACUAUCUACGCUUGUGACCGUUCACCAGGUAACCUUCAGCGAUGGAGGUUCGCUGGAGCUCACAGACGUCUCUCCCCAGGGAGGACAGCUUCUAAAUGUUUGAUCUCAAAUCAGGUAGGACUACCCGCUGAACUUAAG